ACGCUCGACACCUACGGGAGGCAGCAGUGGGGAAUAUUGGGCAAUGGGCGCAAGCCUGACCCAGCAACGCCGCGUGAAGGAUGAAGGCUUUCGGGUUGUAAACUUCUUUUAUCAGGGACGAAACAAAUGACGGUACCUGAUGAAUAAGCCACGGCUAACUACGUGUCAGCAGCCGCGGUAAUCUGAGCGGGCUGGCAAGGC
Molecule: ribosomal RNA, 201 nt
Filed under: uncultured bacterium
Lineage: Bacteria
Description: partial 16S ribosomal RNA
Rfam family: Bacterial small subunit ribosomal RNA
Source: RNAcentral